This 138-nucleotide ribosomal RNA is filed under the name uncultured bacterium. RNAcentral describes it as "partial 16S ribosomal RNA". It matches the Rfam family "Bacterial small subunit ribosomal RNA", at positions 355 to 509 of the family's 1533-position model. The record is from RNAcentral.
UGGGGGAUAUUGCACAAUGGGGGGAACCCUGAUGCAGCGACGCCGCGUGGGUGAAGAAGCGCCCUCGGCGCGUAAAGCCCUGUCAGCAGGGAAGAAAAUGACGGUACCUGAAGAAGAAGCCCCGGCUAACUACGUGCC